GGGGAAUUUUCCGCAAUGGGCGAAAGCCUGACGGAGCAAUACCGCGUGAGGGAGGAAGGCUCUUGGGUUGUAAACCUCUUUUCUCAGGGAAUAAGUACUGAAGGUACCUGAGGAAUCAGCAUCGGCUAACUCCGUGCCAGCAGCCGCGGUAAUACGGAGGAUGCAAGCGUUAUCCGGAAUGAUUGGGCGUAAAGCGUCCGCAGGUGGUUAUUCAAGUCUGCUGUCAAAGAAUCUGGCUCAACCAGAUAAAGGCAGUGGAAACUGAAAGACUAGAGUAUGGUAGGGGUAGAGGGAAUUCCUGGUGUAGCGGUGAAAUGCGUAGAGAUCAGGAAGAACACCGGUGGCGAAAGCGCUCUGCUGGACCAUAACUGACACUGAGGGACGAAAGCUAGGGGAGCGAAUGGGAUUAGAUACCCCAGUAGUC
Molecule: ribosomal RNA, 424 nt
Filed under: uncultured cyanobacterium
Lineage: Bacteria; Bacillati; Cyanobacteriota
Description: bacterial SSU rRNA
Rfam family: Bacterial small subunit ribosomal RNA
Source: RNAcentral